RNAcentral lists this ribosomal RNA (460 nucleotides) under uncultured bacterium. RNAcentral's name for it is "partial 16S ribosomal RNA". It matches the Rfam family "Bacterial small subunit ribosomal RNA", at positions 338 to 795 of the family's 1533-position model. The record is from RNAcentral.
CCUACGGGUGGCAGCAGUGAGGAAUAUUCGUCAAUGGCCGGAAGGCUGAACCAGCCAUGCCGCGUGAAGGUCAGUGCCCUAUGGGCGUUAAACUUCUUUUGUGCGGGAGCAAUAAUGGUCACGUGUGGCCAGACGAGAGUACCGUACGAAUAAGCAUCAGCUAACUCCGUGCCAGCAGCUGCGGUAAUACGGGGGAUGCAAGCGUUAUCCGGAUUUAUUGGGUUUAAAGGGUGCGUAGGCUGUGAGGUAAGUCAGCGGUGAAAUGCCCCGGCUCAACGGGGUGAAGUGCCAUUGAUACUGGCUUGCUGGAAUGCGGAUGCCGUGGGAGGAAGGUGAGGUGUAGCGGUGAAAUGCAUAGAUAUCACACAGAACACCGAUUGCGAAGGCAUCUCACGAAUCCGCGAUUGACGCUGAUGGACGAAAGCGUGGGUAGCAAACAGGAUUAGAUACCCCAGUAGUC